Molecule: long non-coding RNA, 540 nt
Filed under: Eutrema salsugineum
Lineage: Eukaryota; Viridiplantae; Streptophyta; Magnoliopsida; Brassicales; Brassicaceae
Description: long non-coding RNA (ESAL_LNC001060)
Source: RNAcentral
UCGAUUUGGGGGCCGCCUCUUCCGUGCGGGUCCCGAUCACGUCUCCGGCUAAGUUCUUAGCCAGGUUCUGGUCUAGUGAAUCUAUAUCGAAUUGGAGAUACUCGGCCGGUUUACCUAAACCAAACGGAUCAAACCCGUAAUCUCCAACCAACGAACCGUCGAGCCAGUCAGGAGAUUUGGCGCCUGGGAACCAGAGAGGCCGGUCCGAAGUCACCUUCUUGGGCGCGGUCUUUUUGGGAGCUUUCUUUCCGAACCCAAACCGGGCUGUAAACCGACCAGAACCGGAAUGGAUACCGGGAGCCACCCGAGUACCCAUGAUGGAAGAAGCAGCGGCAGCGGUUGAAGUUGCGGCCAUCUCGGGCGGUGUGUGUUUUGUUAGAUUUUUUGUGAUUUCAGGAGAUGGAAGGAACUUGUGUUUCUUUAAUCCGAGAUUAUAGAUGCCAUGAGGAUAGACGAUUUUUCUUUCGAUCUGGGGUGAUCUUGGAGAGGCGAUCAUUACCGUUGGAUCGAUUGACAAAAUCCAUCUGACGGUGAAAAACA